UCUUGUUAGAUGAACAUUCAGACCACACUUAUGCAGCAAAAGAACAGCCAUUUGAGUUUGAAAAAAUAUGUACGCUUGAAUUUGAUUGCCAUGCUGAUUUUUUUCUUGCACCACUGGAAGGCACAGAGCAACUGAUUACACAAUACAUUUGUAAUUGAGAUAUUUGCAGUGAAUGAGACACACAAUGAACAUGAAGAACCUUGCCUUUCUCCCAUUCUCUCUUUCAGACUUUAUGCAAUUUAUUACAAGUUAGCAUCAAUGAUACAUGUACAUAUAUCCUUAGCUGUACAGAUACCGAAAUUUGCAUACAGUUGAACUGUACCAGAUCAGUUGCAGGGAAAUUAGCACGAAGCUCUCAGUUAUCAUUGACAGUAACAUUAUAAGUGAAUGUUUGAUAAUAAAAAUAUUAUUUAUACCUGGAA
This 422-nucleotide long non-coding RNA is filed under the name Mytilus galloprovincialis (Mediterranean mussel). Lineage: Eukaryota; Metazoa; Mollusca; Bivalvia; Mytilida; Mytilidae. The record is from RNAcentral.